AACGAACGCUGGCGGCAGGCUUAACACAUGCAAGUCGAACGCACCGCAAGGUGAGUGGCAGACGGGUGAGGAACACGUGGGAACAUUCCUUUCAGUUCGGAAUAACGUUGGGAAACUAACGCUAAUACCGGAUACGUCCUUCGGGAGAAAGAUUUAUCGCUGAAAGAUUGGCCCGCGUCUGAUUAGCUAGUUGGUGAGGUAACGGCUCACCAAGGCGACGAUCAGUAGCUGAUCUGAGAGGAUGAUCAGCCACAUUGGGACUGAGACACGGCCCAAACUCCUACGGGAGGCAGCAGUGGGGAAUAUUGGACAAUGGGCGCAAGCCUGAUCCAGCCAUGCCGCGUGAGUGAUGAAGGCCUUCGGGUUGUAAAGCUCUUUUGUCCGGGAAGAUAAUGACUGUACCGGAAGAAUAAGCCCCGGCAAACUUCGUGCCAGCCGCCGCCGUAAAAC
RNAcentral lists this ribosomal RNA (450 nucleotides) under uncultured bacterium. RNAcentral describes it as "bacterial SSU rRNA". It matches the Rfam family "Bacterial small subunit ribosomal RNA", at positions 29 to 526 of the family's 1533-position model. The record is from RNAcentral.